This is a long non-coding RNA of Lagopus muta (rock ptarmigan), 2606 nucleotides long. RefSeq lists it as uncharacterized. Lineage: Eukaryota; Metazoa; Chordata; Aves; Galliformes; Phasianidae. The record is from RefSeq and is a predicted model, not a curated record. The transcript is spliced from 3 exons.
UGGGACUGAGGCUUCUCGGUUGUUCUGUAGCUGUUGGGAUUGUUUUCACCUUGGAUUGAAAUGCUUUUCCCUGGAACUCUUUGCCCUUCUGCAGGGGGAUUGAAGAGCUCUGCUCCUUAGCUUGUGAGACAGAAUCACCGCGGGUGCUGAGAGAGAGCAGGAAAUCACCUUUGUAAAGCUGUCCAGAAAGCCUUGAAUUCAGGUAUGAGCCUCGUGUUUAUAGGAACAUAAAAGGAACCAUGGAAACUGAAUAUGGGUCAGAGCACCUGCAAGUGGAUAAAAAGUAGAGGGAUUGCAAAGCUACCCUGAUUUCUCUGUCUUUGGAUAUGCUCUGCUGGUUGCAAACCUCCUUGGGGUCCUAGGCUCCAUAGGAGCCUUGGGGAUCUAUACAAAGAAGGAAUUUCUGGGGAAAGCAGCAGACAGAAGGCUUGCUUUAAAUUCCUGUGCGUGCCUUGGUCCUUCGGCUUCCACAGAGGAUUCCACGAGGAUCACAAGCUGCUCAGUCUACAGGGAGCUGCUGCUGGAUCUGGUGCUCCUGCUGAGCCUCAGAUAUAACCCUGCUACAGAUUAUAGACGUGUUUUGGUUGAAAUUCUCUGUGCUUGAUGCAUUGUCUGCCUACAACGCAGGGCAAACUCUGCUCCUCCCUUCUGGCCUGGCCUGUAAUGAUGGAUUAAGUAGAGCUGACACUUGGUGGAAGAGUUGCUGGUGUGCCUGGAGGUGCAGCGUGAGGUGGGCUGGCCAGAGGAGACCUCUGCUCCCCCGUAGACACUGAGCUGCUGCUUGGGAACGGAUCUUGGGGACCAGAAACAGCUCCUGAACCUCCAGCAAGCCACCUCGGGAUGCAAGUGGUGUCUGAAUCUCUUAGAGUCAUAGGAUUAUGAAGGUUGGAAUAAAGCACUGAGAUCAUCAGCCCAUCCCCACCAUGCCCACUAAACCAUGUUCCUCAGUGCCGCAUUCUCCCUCAUUUUGGGACCGCCUGGGAGCUGGAAGGUUUAUUGUUAUGGAUGGUUUCAGCUGGAUUUCUCUCUUCUUUCAAACAAAGUGUUUCCUCUUGAAUGGUUUGAGCCUGCCCUCAUUUGGAUCUUUGUUUUUGCAAAUCCAAGUCAGCAUGGCUCAUUCUGUCUGGAUCUGUGGAGGAUGGCUGUCUGUUAGAGACAAGCUGAAGUUCAGCAUGUCAGCAGUGGUCAAGGAAUGAACCAGGACCCCAGUGGCCUCGCUCUGCUCUUGAUCAGAUGAAUUUUCUUCUGGAGAGCUGGGAGGUGGGUUAGGGAAGGCUGUUGCUGUGGCAGCAGGAGCGGAUCAGCCCUCUGCAGCCUGCUCUUCACACAGCAAGCUGCUCAGCGACCUGUCAGCGCUGUGCUGAUCAGAUGGGGGCUGAAGGCAGAGUUCAGAGCAGGAGGAUGGGUGGGUCCGUGUGCUGCUGUGACAGAGAAAAAAGGCAGCAGGAGAGUGUGAUGGGCCUGUCCCAACCUUCUGCUUUUCCCAUGAGUUGCAUAGUGCCAGACCUUUGCUGUCCAGUUCUUUGGGUUGGGGACAACACGGGAGAGACAGGGGAAAUGGAGUAACAGCCCCAGCCACUGCCAUGGAGAAUAAAAUUGGGAAAAUGGUGAAAGACAAGAAGGUGAGAAAGCUAUGAGUUUUGUGUAUUUGCUGUUGGUUUGAUAUUGGAUGGCCCCGUCCCUGCAGACAGCCACGGUCAGGAUGGAUGGGCUCUGAGCACUGAUGGAGCUGUGGGUAUCCCUGCUCAGUGCGGGGAGGUUGGACCACAUGGCCUUUAAGAGUUCCUUCCAGCUCAAAACAAUGCUGUGGUUCCUUGGGGAGCCCUGGAGCUGACAUGUCCAUUUCCAGGCUAUGGCAGAGCCCUCGUGGCUUUGCAGCAUGUGCUUGUGUAGUGGGGUAGUAGCCAAAGGAGUGGAAGGGGGUCUUCCCAUCAGACUUUAAAUGUGAAGACCCUGUCCGGUCCAUCUUUCCCAAGGACAGACUGUCUCAGCGUGGCUCCCACCAGCUCAGUCUUCUGUCACUGUGUCACUGUCACUGGUGGCUGGGGAGCUGCACUAGGCACUGAAUGCCCUCCCCAUGUGCGAGCUGGGAUCCAUCUUGUGUCAGCUGCCUUCAGCCCUUCCAACCUCGUGCUGUCUCGCUGUAGCCCAGCCUGAAUUUGGCAUUCGCUGUCAGGUGGCUGAUUUCUGCCUGCAGAAUAUGGAAAGCGUCAGCCUGGCAUUUCCCGCUUGCCUCCCAGGGACAAAGCAGGUCAUGACUUACGUGUAUUAUCAUUAAAAAGAUAAUUUCCUCUAGAUGUGUGCAAUAAGACAAUGGUGCUGACCUGUGAUCCUGGCAUUGCACAGCAUUAAUGAUUUCCCUUUGCAGGUAAUAAGCAGCAAAUGUACACAUUUUGGGGAGAUCUGAAUUUUUUUUUUUCCCUUUUAACACUGCUGUCUUCCUAGGCCAGACUUAAUUAGCAGACCUCAUUAUUUCCUGAAAUGUAACUUGACUUCCAUUGAAUGAGAAUUGUUCAGUGGAUGGGGAGCAGCAGAGCGGUGCUGCAAUAUUCAUAUUGUUUAAAUUGCAACAUUAACAUUUCAUGCCGCUCUUGGCAUAUUUUCAG